RNAcentral lists this unclassified non-coding RNA (242 nucleotides) under Helotiales sp. Its description in RNAcentral is "partial contains small subunit ribosomal RNA, internal transcribed spacer 1, and 5.8S ribosomal RNA". The stretch from base 1 to 46 matches the Rfam family "Eukaryotic small subunit ribosomal RNA", at positions 1786 to 1831 of the family's 1831-position model. The record is from RNAcentral. Lineage: Eukaryota; Fungi; Ascomycota; Leotiomycetes; Helotiales.
AAGUCGUAACAAGGUCUCCGUAGGUGAACCUGCGGAGGGAUCAUUACAGAGUUCUUGCCCUUACGGGUAGAUCUCCCACCCUGUGUUAUCAUUACCUUUGUUGCUUUGGCGGAUCGUUCGGUUCUGUCGACCACCGGCUUCGGCUGGUGUGCGUCCGCCAGAGGACCCCAAACUCUGAAUAUUAGUGUCGUCUGAGUACUAUAUAAUAGUUAAAACUUUCAACAACGGAUCUCUUGGCUCUC